GAAAGAGGCUAUAAUCGCUGUUUUUCCCCGCCACAAAUUUGCUAUGGCAGUUUGCUAUGGCUGGAGGAGAAGGAGCGUUAGUCAACGCGUGCCUGAAAGGCCACCUCACGGAUUUGGCUGGUCAUGACUUGACUACCUCAUGAAGAUUUUGACCAAGAGAGGCUACAAAUUCACCACCACAGUUGAGUGAGAAACUAUGCUACACUGUGCUGGAGAUGGCUACUGCUGCUUCCACUUCCUCCCUGGAAAAGAGCCAUGAACUUCCUGGUGGUCAAGUGUUCGCAUUAAUACUCUGAACCCCAGGUUUGAGAGGGUCUACCCCACCACCACCACUCGCUCAAGGCUUCUUCUGGCUCCAGGAACCUGUUUUCAGGGUCAAAAGUCAGUCGUAGAAACUGUGAAUUAAUAUGUAAGAAAAGAAUAUCUGAACAUGUACAAAAGACGCGCGCCCCCCCGCCCUGAUAACUAUCUGAGAUGAGGAUGCUCAACUCCCAAGUAAAAAAAUAAGUGCGUCGUCUAGGCAGGUUUCAGACCCCGAACGUAUCAGUUUGAAAAGCGGGUCAAGACGGGAGAGGAGACGAGGUUGUAGCAAACGGCUUCUCCAACCCGGACCAGAGAGAGAGAGAGAGAGAGACGCACACAAUCGCCUGUCCGUGCUGAUAGGUAAAUUCAAUUUGACGAAAUAAAUAAAUAAAAUCAA
Molecule: long non-coding RNA, 700 nt
Organism: Podarcis raffonei (Aeolian wall lizard)
Lineage: Eukaryota; Metazoa; Chordata; Lepidosauria; Squamata; Lacertidae
Exons: 3
Source: RefSeq, a predicted model, not a curated record